GGCCUACAGUCUAGAAGGGGGGAGACGGACAUCAAAAUGAAAGGAAAGCGGGCUGAGGGAAUUGCUCGAUGGAGAGGCUGGAGUCGAAGGGCUGAAUCCGCACACGAGAGAUGGGGGGCAAUUGGGAAGGGGAUUCAAAUAAAGCACGACGUCCUGAGGCUCGCAUCUCCUCCUGCCUUCAGGACGUAUCCACCUGGAU
This is a long non-coding RNA of Ornithorhynchus anatinus (platypus), 199 nucleotides long. RefSeq lists it as uncharacterized. NCBI's taxonomy places the organism in Eukaryota, Metazoa, Chordata, Mammalia, Monotremata, Ornithorhynchidae. The record is from RefSeq and is a predicted model, not a curated record. The transcript has 3 exons.